AAUUAGAAAACUGGAGUUACUAGUGGGCAGCCCUGCAUCCUGCAUGGAAUUGGAGCUGUACAGAGUUGACGACAAGUUCUACAGCAAGCUAGAUCAAGAAGAUGCGCUGCUGGGCUCCUACCCUGUAGAUGACGGCUGCCGCAUCCAUGUCAUUGACCACAUCGGCGCCCGCCUUGGUGAGUAUAAGGAUGUGUCCUUGGUGGAGAAGUACACCAUCUCACAAGAAACCUACGACCAGAGGCAAGACACGGUCCGCUCCUUCCAAAAGCUCAGCAAGCUCGGCAGGUACAACGAGGAGGAGCGGGCGCAGCAGGAGGCCGAGGCCACCCAGCGCCUCGCUGAGGAGAAGGCCCAGGCCAGCUCCAUCCCGGUGGGCAGCCGCUGUGAGGUGCGGGCGGUGGGGCAGUCCCCUCGCCGGGGCACCGUCAAGUAUGUAGGUCUCACAGAUUUCAAGCCUGGCUACUGGAUUGGCAUCCGCUAUGAUGAGCCACUGGGGAAAAACUGGCAGUGUGAAUGGGAAACGCUACUUCGAAUGCCAGGCCAAGCACAGCGCCUUCGUCAAGCCAGCAGUCGUGACGGUGGGGGACUUCCCAGAGGAGGACUACGGGUUGGACGAGAUGUGACACCCCAGGAAUUCCCCCGCUCCAGCUCCUAACUCGGCCACUCACUGCCCCUCCUGUGUGUGCCCAUGGCCCUCUUCUGACCCCAUUUUACUUUUAUUCAUUUCUCCUCUGCCAUUGAUUUUUGAGACUCAUGCAUUAAAUUCACUAGAAACCUGGAAAAAAAAAA
RNA transcript from Sapajus apella (tufted capuchin), 789 nucleotides. It is a transcript of the gene named tubulin-folding cofactor B pseudogene, with no coding region annotated. The transcript has a single exon. The record is from RefSeq and is a predicted model, not a curated record. NCBI's taxonomy places the organism in Eukaryota, Metazoa, Chordata, Mammalia, Primates, Cebidae.